This is a long non-coding RNA of Lolium rigidum, 491 nucleotides long. RefSeq lists it as uncharacterized. The transcript is spliced from 3 exons. The record is from RefSeq and is a predicted model, not a curated record. NCBI's taxonomy places the organism in Eukaryota, Viridiplantae, Streptophyta, Magnoliopsida, Poales, Poaceae.
CGGACAUUCCCGAUGGUGUUUUCUUUGAGUGUCGAGUGUGAAGUUCAUUGUUUGUGUUGCAUGAUGAGUUACUUGUUUACGGCCUAUUCCAUAAGAUUUUUGUCUUAUGUUAAAUGUGAUGCAAGCGCGCAUGAUACAUGCUCAUGUUAUGAUGGGUUCUCAAGCUUGUGUUUGUGUCAACAAAACAGGCAACAUCUAUCGCUUCUUGCUCCUCAGGCUCACCUUGUGGUGCCGGUCCUCCUCUGCAUUGCUGCUGUGCCAGCCCUUCAUCCUCGUGGCCUCCGCUGGCCUCUGUCCCCAUCCCUCCUCUGCACCAUACAAGGUGGAAAAGGAGGGAGCAAGCUGGAAUCAUUGAUAAAGCGAUAACAUACAAGGCAUUUUCUUUUGUUUGGGUCUGAUUGUUGCGGCUCUAGGUUUAUUACCAUAGUUGCUUCUUUCGGCAAAGUAUCGAGCACCUCCAUGCCUCCCUCCCCAUCAAGCAUGACCAAGGC